Molecule: ribosomal RNA, 517 nt
Filed under: uncultured bacterium
Lineage: Bacteria
Description: partial 16S ribosomal RNA
Rfam family: Bacterial small subunit ribosomal RNA
Source: RNAcentral
AACGAACGCUGGCGGCGUGGAUAAGACAUGCAAGUCGAACGGGAUUUUUUCCUGUAGCAAUACAGGAAAAAGUCUAGUGGCGAACGGGUGCGUAACACGUGAGCAACCUGCCGUGAAGUGGGGGAUAGCUCGCCGAAAGGCGAAUUAAUACCGCAUGUGGCCAAGGAAGACAUCUUCCUGACGCCAAAGCCGGGGCAACCUGGCGCUUCUCGAGGGGCUCGCGGCCUAUCAGCUGGUUGGUGAGGUAACGGCUCACCAAGGCUAUGACGGGUAGCUGGUCUGAGAGGACGACCAGCCACACUGGAACUGAGACACGGUCCAGACACCUACGGGUGGCAGCAGUCGAGAAUUUUUCACAAUGGGGGAAACCCUGAUGGAGCGACGCCGCGUGGAGGAUGAAGGUUUUCGGAUUGUAAACUCCUGUCAUUAGAGAACAAGGCACACGGUUUAACUGGCCGUGUGUUGAUAGUAUCUGAAGAGGAAGAGACGGCUUACUCUGUGCCAGCCGCCGCGGUAA